This 460-nucleotide ribosomal RNA is filed under the name uncultured bacterium. Its description in RNAcentral is "partial 16S ribosomal RNA". It matches the Rfam family "Bacterial small subunit ribosomal RNA", at positions 338 to 795 of the family's 1533-position model. The record is from RNAcentral.
CCUACGGGCGGCAGCAGUGAGGAAUAUUGGUCAAUGGACGCGAGUCUGAACCAGCCAAGCCGCGUGAGGGAAGACUGCCCUAUGGGUUGUAAACCUCUUUUAUUCGGGAAGAAACAGCGAUACGCGUAGGUUGCUGCAUGUACCGUACGAAUAAGCAUCGGCUAACUCCGUGCCAGCAGCCGCGGUAAUACGGAGGAUGCAAGCGUUAUCCGGAUUUAUUGGGUUUAAAGGGUGCGUAGGCGGGCGGAUAAGUUAGUGGUUAAAUGCCGGGGCUUAACUCCGGAAUUGCCUUUGAUACUGGCAGGCUAGAGAGCAGUCGAGGUAGGCGGAAUGUAUGGUGUAGCGGUGAAAUGCUUAGAGAUCACACAGAACACCGAUGGCGAAGGCAGCUUACCAAGCUAAGUCUGACGCUGAGGCACGAAAGCGUGGGUAGCAAACAGGAUUAGAUACCCUAGUAGUC